RNAcentral lists this ribosomal RNA (1089 nucleotides) under Tolypocladium paradoxum. Its description in RNAcentral is "SSU rRNA". It matches the Rfam family "Eukaryotic small subunit ribosomal RNA", at positions 41 to 1142 of the family's 1831-position model. Lineage: Eukaryota; Fungi; Ascomycota; Sordariomycetes; Hypocreales; Ophiocordycipitaceae. The record is from RNAcentral.
AGAUUAAGCCAUGCAUGUCUAAGUAUAAGCAAUUAUACAGCGAAACUGCGAAUGGCUCAUUAUAUAAGUUAUCGUUUAUUUGAUAGCACCUUACUACUUGGAUAACCGUGGUAAUUCUAGAGCUAAUACAUGCUAAAAAUCCCGACUUCGGAAGGGAUGUAUUUAUUAGAUUAAAAACCAAUGCCCCCUGGGCUCUCUGGUGAUUCAUGAUAACUUCGCGGAUCGCACGGCCUUGCGCCGGCGAUGGCUCAUUCAAAUUUCUUCCCUAUCAACUUUCGAUGUUUGGGUAGUGGCCAAACAUGGUUGCAACGGGUAACGGAGGGUUAGGGCUCGACCCCGGAGAAGGAGCCUGAGAAACGGCUACUACAUCCAAGGAAGGCAGCAGGCGCGCAAAUUACCCAAUCCCGACACGGGGAGGUAGUGACAAUAAAUACUGAUACAGGGCUCUUUUGGGUCUUGUAAUUGGAAUGAGUACAAUUUAAAUCCCUUAACGAGGAACAAUUGGAGGGCAAGUCUGGUGCCAGCAGCCGCGGUAAUUCCAGCUCCAAUAGCGUAUAUUAAAGUUGUUGUGGUUAAAAAGCUCGUAGUUGAACCUUGGGCCUGGCUGGCCGGUCCGCCUCACCGCGUGUACUGGUCCGGCCGGGCCUUUCCCUCUGUGGAACCCCAUGCCCUUCACUGGGUGUGGCGGGGAAACAGGACUUUUACUUUGAAAAAAUUAGAGUGCUCCAGGCAGGCCUAUGCUCGAAUACAUUAGCAUGGAAUAAUGAAAUAGGACGUGCGGUUCUAUUUUGUUGGUUUCUAGGACCGCCGUAAUGAUUAAUAGGGACAGUCGGGGGCAUCAGUAUUCAAUUGUCAGAGGUGAAAUUCUUGGAUUUAUUGAAGACUAACUACUGCGAAAGCAUUUGCCAAGGAUGUUUUCAUUAAUCAGGAACGAAAGUUAGGGGAUCGAAGACGAUCAGAUACCGUCGUAGUCUUAACCAUAAACUAUGCCGACUAGGGAUCGGACGAUGUUAUAUUUUGACUCGUUCGGCACCUUACGAGAAAUCAAAGUGCUUGGGCUCCAGGGGGAGUAUGGUCGCAAGGCUGAAA